AUUGAACGCUGGCGGCAGGCCUAACACAUGCAAGUCGAACGGUAGCACAGAGAGCUUGCUCUCGGGUGACGAGUGGCGGACGGGUGAGUAACGUCUGGGAAACUGCCCGAUGGAGGGGGAUAACUACUGGAAACGGUAGCUAAUACCGCAUAACGUCGCAAGACCAAAGUGGGGGACCUUCGGGCCUCACACCAUCGGAUGUGCCCAGAUGGGAUUAGCUAGUAGGUGGGGUAAUGGAUCACCUAGGCGACGAUCCCUAGCUGGUCUGCGAGGAGGACCAGCAACACGGGAACGGGAACACGGUCCGGAUCCCUACGGGAGGCAGCGGUGGGGAAUAUUGCACAAUGGGGGCAAGCCUGAUGCAGCCAGGCGGCGUGUAUGAGGAAGGCCUUCGGUUUGUAAAGUACUUUCAGCGGGGAGGAAGGCGGUGAAGUUAAUAGCUUCACCGAUUGACGUUACCCGCAGAAGAAGCACCGGCUAACUCCGUGCCAGCAGCCGCCGUAA
This 504-nucleotide ribosomal RNA is filed under the name uncultured bacterium. Its description in RNAcentral is "partial 16S ribosomal RNA". It matches the Rfam family "Bacterial small subunit ribosomal RNA", at positions 29 to 523 of the family's 1533-position model. The record is from RNAcentral.